GUGCACAUUCAUUGACCUGCUACCUCCUGUUUGUGUGAGCAGUGUUAUUUUACUGUAGAUAGAAAUAGGUAAAGGGAUAAUUUUAAAAAUUU
RNAcentral lists this small nucleolar RNA (92 nucleotides) under Erinaceus europaeus (western European hedgehog). Lineage: Eukaryota; Metazoa; Chordata; Mammalia; Eulipotyphla; Erinaceidae. The record is from RNAcentral.